AAGUCGUAACAAGGUUUCCGUAGGUGAACCUGCGGAAGGAUCAUUACAUUCAGUAGCCUAGCUACUUGUUUAUACCCUUGUUUUUUGCGUACCUAUUGUUUCCUCGGCGGGGUUUGCUCGCCGAUUGGACAAAAACUAUAACCUUUUUAAAUCUUCAAUCAGCGUCUGAAUUAUACAUAAUAAUUACAACUUUCAACAACGGAUCUCUUGGUUCUG
This 216-nucleotide unclassified non-coding RNA is filed under the name air metagenome. RNAcentral describes it as "partial contains small subunit ribosomal RNA, internal transcribed spacer 1, and 5.8S ribosomal RNA". The stretch from base 1 to 46 matches the Rfam family "Eukaryotic small subunit ribosomal RNA", at positions 1786 to 1831 of the family's 1831-position model. The record is from RNAcentral.